GUUGCCAGCCCGCUCAGAAACUCAAAGGAAGUUGACGGGGCCCGGCACAAGCGGUGGAGCAUGUGGUUAAUUCGAUGAUACGCGAGGAACCUUACCUGGGCUCAAAUGUAUGUUGACGUAUUCUGAAAGGGAUACUUCUUCGGACAAUAUACAAGGUGCUGCAUGGUUGUCGUCAGCUCGUGCCGUGAGGUGUCGGGUUAAGUCCCAUAACGAGCGCAACCCUAUCAUUAGUUGCCAUCAGGUCAAGCUGGGGACUCUAAUGAAACUGCCUACGCAAGUAGUGAGGAAGGUGGGGAUGACGUCAAGUCAUCAUGGCCCUUACGGCCUGGGCUACACACGUGCUACAAUGGUCGGUACAAAGGGUUGCCAAGCCGCGAGGUGGAGCUAAUCCCAUAAAACCGAUCGUAGUCCGGAUCGCAGUCUGCAACUCGACUGCGUGAAGUCGGAAUCGCUAGUAAUCGUGAAUCAGAAUGUCACGGUGAAUACGUUCCCGGGCCUU
This 499-nucleotide ribosomal RNA is filed under the name uncultured Pseudomonas sp. Its description in RNAcentral is "bacterial SSU rRNA". It matches the Rfam family "Bacterial small subunit ribosomal RNA", at positions 880 to 1382 of the family's 1533-position model. The record is from RNAcentral. Lineage: Bacteria; Pseudomonadati; Pseudomonadota; Gammaproteobacteria; Pseudomonadales; Pseudomonadaceae.